GAUGAACGCUGGCGGCGUGCCUAAUACAUGCAAGUCGAGCGAACAGACGAGGAGCUUGCUCCUCUGACGUUAGCGGCGGACGGGUGAGUAACACGUGGAUAACCUACCUAUAAGACUGGGAUAACUUCGGGAAACCGGAGCUAAUACCGGAUAAUAUAUUGAACCGCAUGGUUCAAUAGUGAAAGACGGUUUUGCUGUCACUUAUAGAUGGAUCCGCGCCGCAUUAGCUAGUUGGUAAGGUAACGGCUUACCAAGGCGACGAUGCGUAGCCGACCUGAGAGGGUGAUCGGCCCCACUGGAACUGAGACACGGUCAAAACCCCUACGGGAGGCAGCAGUAGGGAAUCUUCCGCAAUGGGCGAAAGCCUGACGGGGCAACGCCGCGUGGGGGAUGAAGGUUUUCGGAUCGUAAAACUUUGUUUUUAGGGAAAAAAAAAUGUGUAAGUAACUAUGCCCUUUUUGACGGUACCAAAUCAAAAAGCCACGGCUAACUACGU
Molecule: ribosomal RNA, 496 nt
Filed under: uncultured bacterium
Lineage: Bacteria
Description: partial 16S ribosomal RNA
Rfam family: Bacterial small subunit ribosomal RNA
Source: RNAcentral